RNAcentral lists this unclassified non-coding RNA (1404 nucleotides) under uncultured fungus. RNAcentral's name for it is "sequence contains 18S rRNA gene, ITS1, 5.8S rRNA gene, ITS2, 28S rRNA gene". Lineage: Eukaryota; Fungi. The record is from RNAcentral.
GCCGGGGCACCGCGAUCAUGCUGGAAGUGGUCCAGAAGAUCGUGCAGAAAAGCGUGACGCAGUGAACCCAGGCCAGAAGCCAGAAGCCAGAAGCCAGAAGCUAGAGCGUCACUAGACGGUGGCGUUCAAAUCUCAGAUCUGGAAUCUGGAAUCUGGAAUCGCGGUUCACUCGCCUAACGGCGUCACAGUGACCUCGGCGUGGCCUUCGUCAUCGUAACGAACCGCGACCUGCCAGGGCUGGCAGCAGACUUCACAGUCCUCGACAUAAUCCUGCUCGGUUCCGCUUCCCGGAUCGAGCGCGAUCUCGACUGACGCGCCGCAAUACGGACACUCGAUGGCCGCUUCGAUGUCGGCCGUGCCGUCACCCAGCGGGAAUUCCUCUUCGAGGGAUUCGCGUUGGUCGUAUUCGUUGUCUCCGUUGCUGCCAUUCUCGCGCAUUGUUGUCCCCCAUCCGCCAUCUGCCAUCUGCCAUCUGCCAUCUGCCAUCCGGUCUACACGUCGCAAAUCUUGACCGCCUCUGCAAGCGACGUGAGCGGGUCCCUCUUCGGAACAAACUCAUGCGCCACAUAGCCGGUGAACCCGGCGUCGGCGAUCGCAGUGCAAACCGUGCGGUAGUUCAACUCCUGGCCGUCGUCAAUUUCGUUCCGGCCCGGCACGCCACCCGUAUGGAAGUGGGCGAUGUGCGCCAGGUUGUCGCGGAUCGUGCGGAUGACAUCUCCUUCCAUGAUCUGCAUGUGGUAGAUGUCGUACAGCAGCUUCACACGCGGUGAAUUUACGCCCUGCAUCACCUUCACCGCCCACGGCGUGCGAUCACCCAUGUAAUCCUUGUGGUCCACCUUGCUGUUCAGCAGCUCGACGCACACCGUGACCCCGUGCCGCUCGGCGCUCGCCUUCACGCGCGACAGUCCGGCGAUGCAUGCGUCGGCGCCCCGGUCAUCAGGAAUGCCACCGCGGUUCCCGAACAUCGCGAUCACGUUAGGCACGCCGGCAGACGCGGCCAACGGCAGCGUCUUCUCGAUCUCGUCCACGAGCAGGUCGUGAUUGGCGGGAUUGUUGAAACCGCGGGUCAGGAAGUCCCGGCGUUUGGACGGGUAUCCCAUGGAGCUGACCAGGCCCGCGUCGCGAACCACCGGCCACUCCUCGGGCUGGAGCAGGUCUAUUGCAGACAAGCCGAUGCGUUUCGCCUGCGUUGCAAACUGCGGAAGCGGGAUGCGGCCAUACGGCCAAUAGGACACGGACUGCUUGAGUCGCCCCGCGGAGUGCGUAGCGCGCUCUUCGGCCAGCAUCGGGAUAAGGGCAGGGGCGACCGCGGUCGCGCCGAUGGUGCGGAUUGCCGUGCGUCGGUUCAUGUAGAUCUCUCCCUGGCGCCAACGUAGGCAUUGCGCGGAUCAUCGUCCAGAAGCG